ACUUUCUGAGAAUAUGCACAUUGUCUUGAAUAGAAGGCACUAUUCGAUUUGAUUCAGUUUGACAGCUGUUUAAUUACAUCAUCUUUACACA
This is a long non-coding RNA of Haliotis rubra (blacklip abalone), 91 nucleotides long. RefSeq lists it as uncharacterized. The record is from RefSeq and is a predicted model, not a curated record. NCBI's taxonomy places the organism in Eukaryota, Metazoa, Mollusca, Gastropoda, Lepetellida, Haliotidae. The transcript is spliced from 3 exons.